AUCUGAUAUGGUGUGGUGUGUAACAUCUGAUGUGGUAUGUGGAAUGCUGGAGAUUUUUGAGUGUGUGUUCUGGAGUUCCGUUCAACAAUCCUAUGUUUGUAUUGAAUGUGAUGAUUGACAGUUCAAAUAACUUUUGUAAAAUUGUGCAUAGGCGCCGUACGAUUGUAUUCGUGUUGAUAUAACCUUUUCAUAAUAAAUGUUACCAAUCCUAAGUGUAUUUCAUCAAUGUGUAAUGUGAUCCUUAGUAUAAUAGCACCAGCCUAAAACCGGUUGCAGCUUAGGUUGCUUUCGGUAUUUUACACACCUAGAGAAAAUGACGUCAGAAAUUUCAAAUGCUGUAUCUUUUUAAUGAAGCCCAAAUAAAAAGGUGACCCUAAGAACUUUUCUUUAGAACUGCCUCCUCUAUCUGCUCCUUUAACUUUUUCCAGCCUUCUGAAUCAUCCUGUAUGUAUAUCUUUUCUAUUUCAAUGACUGAAUAUACAUUUAAAAUUUAUCCACUACGAUAAUAGCGAUCAGGUUCCAGAUAAUUAAUUAAUGGAAAAAAAGGAAAUCAAUGGAAUAAUCUGGAAUUUAUAGAGAAAGAGAUUAGAGAUGGGGAAGUCUUUAUUUGCGUAUUUCACGUUGUAUUGGAAUCAGGGAGACUAGUAAGGAGCAGGGCCAAUACCAAACACGAGCUGCAUCCAUACACGUGGAGAGGUACUAGAUGGUAAAAACGGGGAUCGCCGGGCCUGACCCAGCACCACCAAAAAAACUUUUCAGAAGUUACCUGGGGAAGGGAACGUGGAUUCUCCUGCGUGACUUGCCAUUGCCUUACCACUCGGCCGUGCUGCCGGUAGGGAGCUACAUUAGCUAUUUAUGGAAAUGCUUAAAAAUCAUUUUUUCGACCAUUUUUUGUCAACAGAUGACAUCAUUUUCCACUAAAUAAGAGUACUAAGAGACAGAGGUGUCAUCCGGAUUAGGGAGGACGGAGAUCGACGGGCAGGACCCGGACCCGAUGAUAAAUGUAUUCAAAGGGGGAGGACCAGAGACCGGAACUAGGGCCGGGUCCGUAUUCGUAUCUGGGAAAGCCGAACCGAUUCCACGCGACCAAUCCGGACUUUUCCAACCAUUUGUGUUAUUUAUGUGGUCAAAUAUAUCCUUUCGUAUAUUGAGUUAAAAAAUUACUCAAAAGGAAGCUAAUAAAAGUAUCCACCAUAAAAUCUGAGUCUUCGAUUCUUGGAUUAAACUAAUGAUUUCCAACUGAUUCAGCACUCUACGUCGGAUCUGCACGUGAAGAUUGCGCUGAGGCCAGAAGAAUAAAAGAAAAUCAAACACUUACAUACAUUUUCAAAACAUAAAAGGCCUAUUUAUUUCAUUUGUUUUGGUACGUUUUGAUAUUAUAUGAUGAAAAUGUGUCUAGAAAUCAGUAGAUUUUCUAGAAGAUUAAUUUUUAUAUUAAACAGAUUUUAACAAUAAUAAAAAUUUCUUCACCUCCGAUAGAUCUCAAAAUUUAGUUAAACGAAACGCUUACUUAUAAAAUGUUAAUGAGAU
This 1530-nucleotide long non-coding RNA is filed under the name Androctonus crassicauda. The record is from RNAcentral. Lineage: Eukaryota; Metazoa; Arthropoda; Arachnida; Scorpiones; Buthidae.